ACGUUUCUAGUUUAUUUAUAAGAAUAUUAGUUUGUCGUACUAUUGGUGGGUUUUAGCUCGAAGCGUG
Molecule: transfer RNA, 67 nt
Filed under: Hysteromorpha triloba
Lineage: Eukaryota; Metazoa; Platyhelminthes; Trematoda; Diplostomida; Diplostomidae
Description: tRNA-Asp
Source: RNAcentral